Molecule: ribosomal RNA, 477 nt
Filed under: uncultured bacterium
Lineage: Bacteria
Description: bacterial SSU rRNA
Rfam family: Bacterial small subunit ribosomal RNA
Source: RNAcentral
AGGAUGAACGCUGGCGGCGUGCUUAACACAUGCAAGUCGAACGGAGAAAGGGUAGCUUGCUAUCUUUCUUAGUGGCGGACGGGUGAGUAACGCGUGGGUAACCUGCCCUUUGCAGGGGGAUAACAGUGAGAAAUCACUGCUAAUACCGCAUACCAACUUCUUUCGCAUGAAAGAAGUUCGAAAGAUUUAUCGGCAAAGGAUGGACCCGCGUUGGAUUAGCUAGUUGGUGAGAUAACAGCCCACCAAGGCAACGAUCCAUAGCCGGCCUGAGAGGGUGAACGGCCACACUGGGACUGAGACACGGCCCAGACUCCUACGGGAGGCAGCAGUGGGGAAUAUUGCACAAUGGGCGAAAGCCUGAUGCAGCGACGCCGCGUGAAGGAUGAAGGUCUUCGGAUUGUAAACUUCUAUCAGCAGGGAAGAAAGGGCCUAUGGCCUAUGACGGUACCUGACUAAGAAGCCCCGGCUAACUACGUG